Molecule: ribosomal RNA, 506 nt
Filed under: uncultured bacterium
Lineage: Bacteria
Description: partial 16S ribosomal RNA
Rfam family: Bacterial small subunit ribosomal RNA
Source: RNAcentral
AGUGAACGCUGGCGGUAGGCCUAACACAUGCAAGUCGAACGGCAGCACAGAGGAGCUUGCUCCUUGGGUGGCGAGUGGCGGACGGGUGAGGAAUACAUCGGAAUCUACUCUGUCGUGGGGGAUAACGUAGGGAAACUUACGCUAAUACCGCAUACGACCUACGGGUGAAAGCAGGGGAUCUUCGGACCUUGCGCGAUUGAAUGAGCCGAUGUCGGAUUAGCAAGUUGGCGGGGUAAAGGCCCACCAAGGCGACGAUCCGUAGCUGGUCUGAGAGGAUGAUCAGCCACACUGGAACUGAGAAACGGUCCAGACUCCUACGGGAGGCAGCAGUGGGGAAUAUUGGACAAUGGGCGCAAGCCUGAUCCAGCCAUACCGCGUGGGUGAAGAAGGCCUUCGGGUUGUAAAGCCCUUUCGUUGGGAAAGAAAUCCAUCUGGUUAAUACCCGGGUGGGAUGACGGUACCCAAAGAAUAAGCACCGGCUAACUUCGUGCCAGCAGCCGCGGUAA